This 304-nucleotide long non-coding RNA is filed under the name Homo sapiens (human). Its description in RNAcentral is "long non-coding RNA NONHSAT232569". Lineage: Eukaryota; Metazoa; Chordata; Mammalia; Primates; Hominidae. The record is from RNAcentral.
CUUCCAAACAGAAAUCAGGAGUGACCACAAAGCCUGACAACACUUUGCCACCCAGCAAGAACUGGCACAAUUGGUUUGGGUCUGCAUUGCCAUAGUGCCCGAGUUAAAACUACAGGCCACUCCACCUUGCAAACAUCACGUGGCCUCUGAUUUCAUUGUGGGUGCAUCCACAGGUGGCCCUAGCUCUUUUUUCAGCUGCUCCGAGGAUUGGGACCCAAGUCAUCAUGAAAAAGGCCCAGGUACAGUCUUAAUGUGAAAAAUCCACUAGCUAAGACGUUGAGUGCCAAGACCAGCCUUCCAGCCA